AUUGAACGCUGGCGGCAUGCCUUACACAUGCAAGUCGAACGGCAGCACGGGGGCAACCCUGGUGGCGAGUGGCGAACGGGUGAGUAAUACAUCGGAACGUGCCCAGUAGUGGGGGAUAGCCCGGCGAAAGCCGGAUUAAUACCGCAUACGACCUACGGGUGAAAGCGGGGGAUCGCAAGACCUCGUGCUACCGGAGCGGCCGAUGCCAGAUUAGGUUGUUGGUGGGGUAAAAGCCUACCAAGCCGACGAUCUGUAGCUGGUCUGAGAGGACGACCAGCCACACUGGGACUGAGACACGGCCCAGACUCCUACGGGAGGCAGCAGUGGGUAAAUUUGGACAAUGGGCGCAAGCCUGAUCCAGCCAUGCCGCGUGC
Molecule: ribosomal RNA, 374 nt
Filed under: uncultured bacterium
Lineage: Bacteria
Description: bacterial SSU rRNA
Rfam family: Bacterial small subunit ribosomal RNA
Source: RNAcentral